GGUGUUUAGGACUGAGCCGGUACGUGUUGAUUUGUCUCACUCCAGCAUGGCUCCGAAAGGGAAGAGGCGAGCGGAGAAAGCGGAAAGAUUCGAAGAAAAUGACGAGGACGCGGGUGAAAACGCCGACGACGAAGCCGGGAAUGGAGGAGAUGAGAAUGGGGAAGAUGAACUUACCCUGGAUGAUGUGCUGCGUUUGGGAGGCACUAAGGCGGACUACGUGAUGCUUACUGCAGUUGAUGACAGCAAAGAGCUGGUAAAUGGUGGAAAGAAAGGUGCAAUCGAUGAUUUGGAGGACGGCGAGCUGGAAGACUUCGUUAAGAAACUGGGGAUCAGGUCCUACGCAGACCAGCAGGUUGUUGAAGGUGAUGAUGAUGAUGAGAAUGAGCCUGAAGAUAAAGAGAAACACUCCAAGCCCAGUGUGGAAAAGAAGAGCAAAAAAAAAGAAGCCCCUAAAGUAGAGUCCAGCGAGACGCCUAAAGCCAAGCGAGAAGCCGAGGCGAAGAAGGCCGAGGGAAAAAAAUCAAGUAAAAAGGCCAAGCAAAAAGAAGCAGACCUUUUUGAGUUUUACCCGCGGCAGGUGCUUCUGGUCAAACCUGGAGGAAAAUGGUAUGAUGUAGACUACACAUCUGAGAUGAGCACGUCUAAUCAGGACGAAUCGCUGGUUUCUCAGUACAAGGCUUUGGCUCAGAAGUUGCUUGAGGCCGAAAUGAAUCUUUACAAAAGUAAGAAAAACCUGCAGAAAGGCGCGAACACGGUCUGGAUGAAGAGCGUCGUCUCCACUGGGACUCUGGCAGACAGGAUGGCGGCCAUGACUGUGCUCAUCCAGGACGCUCCUGUACACUGUCUGGAGCACAUCGAAAGCCUGGUUGUUAUGAUGAAGAAGAAAGGAAGUCGUAGGCAAGGUCUCAUGGCUUUGGACACGCUUAGAGAGUUGCUGUUGUCUGAUCUGCUCCCAGAGAAUCGGAAGCUUCAGACUUUCUCUCAGCGUCCGAUCGACCAGCUAGAGGAGCGUGCAAGUGGAAACCGAGAUGUUCGAGACCGGCGCCUAAUCCUUUGGUACUUUGAGCACCUUCUCAAGCUCCAACUGGCUGAGUUUGUAAUAGCUUUAGACGCUUUGGCUCACGAUUCUGUUCCAGCCACCAAAACAAAAGCUCUGACCACAGCUCACGAGCUGCUCUGCAAUCGGCCUGAGCAGGAAAAAGCCCUGCUGAUGCAUGUCGUCAACAAACUGGGAGAUCCGGACUACAAAAUCGCUUCGAAGGCAUCUUAUCUGUUGGAGACCCUCCUCCAUAAGCACCCCUUGAUGAAAUCGGUGGUGUGCACCGAAGUCGAGCGUCUGAUGUUCAGACCCAAUAUAAGCAGCAAGGCUCAGUAUUACGCCGCCUGCUUCCUCAAUCAGGUGAUGCUGAGCCACGACGAGGUCGAUCUCGCAAGCAAACUUAUCACUAUCUACUUCAGCUUCUUCCGUCUCUGCAUCAAGAAGAAGGAGGUGGAGUCUAAGAUGCUGGGCGCUCUGCUGAGCGGUGUGAACAGGGCAUAUCCAUACACCAAGGCCGGAGAUGAGACUGUCCGGGAGCAGCUGGACACACUGUUUAAAGUGGUGCAUCUUGUAAAGUUCAGUACAGCUAUACAAGCUCUCAUGCUGCUCUUCCAGGUUAUGGAUUCUCAGCAGAGUGUGUCGGAUCGCUACUACGUCGCCCUUUACAAGAAGCUGUUAGAUCCUGGACUGUCAGUAAGCUCGAGGCAGAGCAUGUUCCUUAACCUGCUGUACAAAUCUCUGAAAGCCGACAUCGUCCUGCGGCGUGUUAAAGCCUUCGUAAAGAGGCUGCUGCAGGUGAGCUGUGAGCAGAGCCCAACGUUCGCCUGCGGCGCGCUCUUCCUCAUCUCCGAGGUCAUGAAGGCUAAACCUGGUCUUAAGCUCAUCCUACAAGAAGGGGAUAAUGAGGAGGAGACGUUUCAGGACCUUAAAGGGGAAGAGGAUGACGACAAGAAUAAUACCAACAAUUUUGAUGAUGAUGAUGAUGAAGAAGAAAGGUUUGUUGAUGCGGAUAAAAUUGAAGAAGGCCAGGGUGAAAAGCCUCAGCAGAACAAACCAGCUGCAUCAUGGGUACAUCACCAAAACUUGGAGGGAAGCAAGGAUUUGAAGCUGUAUGACCCCAUUCACAGAAACCCUUUAUACUGUGGAGCGAAUCACAGCACACUCUGGGAGCUGCAGAAGCUUGCUGAUCAUUUUCACCCUUCUGUGGCUCUCUUCGCAAAAACCAUCUUACAUGGAGGGCACAUCCAGUACUCUGGAGAUCCUCUGCAGGACUUUACACUCAUCAGGUUCUUGGAUCGGUUUGUGUUCAGAAACCCCAAACAAACAAAAGGCAAACAAAACACACAUGCGACAGUAAUGCAGCCGAAGCACAAACAGAGCAUGAAUAACAUCCGGUCGUUACCUGUAAACUCAGAGGAGUAUCUGGCCAAAGAGGAGACUCAGAUCCCUGUGGAUGAGGUGUUCUUCUACAGGUUCUUUAAAAAGAGGGAAGGAGAGAAGCAAUUAAAGAAGCCUUGUGGAGAUGAUGAGAGUGUUGAGGAUGUGGAGGAUGAUGAGUUUGACCAACUGCUCAACACUUUUGAGAGUGACAACUACUUCACAGAGUUUAAAGAUGAUGAUCUGGACUUUGCCGGCAAUGUAAAGAACAGCAGCAAAAAGGGCAAGAAGGCCAGUGAUGUCUCUGAUUCAGACAUGGAUUCAAAUGAAGACCUGGAUGAUGAUGAGAUCUCUCUGGGAAGCAUGGCUGAGGAAGACUUCGGAGAUGAGCUAGAAGAAGAAGACGGCGGUGCUUUUAUGGAUCCGGACGGAGACGACGAUGAUGAAGUACCAGAGCUCGAGGGUGACGAUGACGAUGACUUCGAUAGGGACGUGGAUGAACCAGCAGGGGUCAGCAUGGGAAGCAAAACAGGCAAGAGAAGUCAUCAGAGCAUCUCGACUUUGCUGAAACAUUUUAUUCCAAACUAAGCAAGAAGAAAAAGAAAGGAAAGAUUGAUGACACGGCCAUGUUCGCAGCAGCUGAGGAGUUUGGAGAUUUGCUGGAUGAAAAUACAGACAUGAAGUUCGACAACGGCAUGAACGCGAUGGCUAACAAAGACAAAGCCAGUAUCAAACAGCUGAAAUGGGAGGUGCAGCGUGAUGACUGGAUUCAGGGACGUGACGUGAAGACGCUCAGGAGGAAGAAGGCCAUGUUCAAUAAGAGGAAACAUUUUGGGAAAGGAAGACCAGGCAAAAAGACUGGAGGCAGAAAGAAGUGAUGACGCUCGUUCUCUUGAGUAUCUGUCAGUAUGUCUGUCUAUUCCUGCCGAGUAGACCAUACGUCCUGAUCAGCUUCCCGGAUUCCGAAGUUCCCGGCCCAUUCGUUGGACUUGUAAUAAACUGAUGGAGAUAAAAGGCUGAUUAAUAAUGCUUCAGUUUGUAGUCAUUAAUUGCUACAUUGGGGCAAAACUUUCGUAAUACGUGAAGAAAUGCAUUUUGUAAUAAAUGUAAUUUUACUGUUUGUUUUUGUUUUUCUACACAAUUGUUUUUACACUUUUCAGACAGUCUCAUGGUGUAUUCCUGCAGAUUUUCUGAGAUUUGUAUCCACCAUUUUAACUCUGACCAUUGUGUGUUUUUGAAGAUGAACGAAUGAAAUAAUAGAAUCCAUCACAUGAAACAUUACAGCUGAUCUUUUACGAAA
Molecule: RNA transcript, 3716 nt
Organism: Silurus meridionalis
Lineage: Eukaryota; Metazoa; Chordata; Actinopteri; Siluriformes; Siluridae
Gene: cebpz
Gene name: CCAAT enhancer binding protein zeta
Exons: 17
Source: RefSeq, a predicted model, not a curated record